This is a long non-coding RNA of Dermacentor andersoni, 809 nucleotides long. RefSeq lists it as uncharacterized. Lineage: Eukaryota; Metazoa; Arthropoda; Arachnida; Ixodida; Ixodidae. The record is from RefSeq and is a predicted model, not a curated record.
GUUUUCACAUUCGCCCCCCAUCGAAAUGCGGCCGCCGUGGCCGGGAUUCGAUCUCGCAAACUCGUGCUUAGCAGCCCACCACCAUAGCCACUAAGCAACCACGGCUAGUCACAGCUCAAUUUGUAGCAGGUAAACUACAUACAGGUUGUUUCAGCGAACAGUACAUUUUUUUUUAAUUUGCCUGUGGCAGAUAGCAGAAUUCCAGUCUAUUAGCUGGUCUACUCGAAGAAGCGGACGUUACGUGCACAAUAUUUCGAAUGCCUAAUCGACUAAUUAACAGAAAUUCACUCAUUACGUUUUUAAUUAAUUACCUUAUGGCACAUAUAGCUGUUUACAAAUUCUAGCGGGUGAGACGGCAAGGCACAUGCACUUGAAAAGAAUUGUGUCGAUGACACCAUUUACAAGAUAUCGCCGCCAAACUUGUAGUAAAAUUGCACUGUUGUUCCACUAUUUUUUUCAACGAAAGGUCGUUUUAUGUAGUGAAGCACAAAACUAACUGAACUACCAAUGCAUUUCUCCGCAAUGUUUCGAAUAAAUAUCUCGAAACUGCGGUCAUCCUAAGAAUUCGGCCCAAGUGGACCUCCCUCGGCAACUACCCGGUUAGAAUUUGUAAAUUGCAACAUGUGCCAUAAGGUAAUUUGUUAAUUUGUCGAUUAUGCAUUUCAAUUUUUUUUUUUGCAAGCAAUGUCCGCCUCCUCGCGUAGACUAGCUCAUGGACGAGGAUCGUGCUAUCUGCCACAGCCAAUUAAAGAAAAGUUAUGAAAGAGUUCGCUGAAACACUCGGUAUGUUCAUUAUUGUAGGCUGCAUG